This is an RNA transcript of Phascolarctos cinereus (koala), 8874 nucleotides long. It is a transcript of the gene named forkhead box O3, with no coding region annotated. NCBI's taxonomy places the organism in Eukaryota, Metazoa, Chordata, Mammalia, Diprotodontia, Phascolarctidae. The record is from RefSeq and is a predicted model, not a curated record.
CUGCGUGUGUCUAUAACUUUGUGUUGCUGCUGCUGCUGGUUGUUAGGAGAAGGAAUGUGGAAGUCAGCAGUGUGGAGGGUGACAGGCUGCCCGUGCAAGCUGCAGGAGCGGCAGCGGCAGCAGCAAAAGCCUAAACGCUUCUCCCGCGCAGAUUCUUCGCUUUCUCUUGUCUGUAUUUUUGGGAGAAGUGCAGAAUUUUGCUUUCUCCCCCAUCGUAUUUAAAGGGAAGGUGCCGCGGUAGACACAGGAACUAUGCAACGGGGUUGCUGCUUUUCUCUCCUGUGACUCCGGAUCUGUUUUUGAACAAGCUCAGGUUCUUCCCUUUCCCCUCCCCUUGACUUUGUCUUUCUCUCCCCCUCCGCCGUUUUCCCUAAUCCGCCCCCCCUCCCCCUCCGCUUUCUCCCUUUCUAGUGUUUUUAAAGGACUUGAGUGAAGGGGGGGGAACUGUCAAGAUGGCAGCAGCGGGAGCAAGGAGGUUAUGAAUGUGUUAGUACUGGACCUUCUCGCAGCCUUAGGGGAGACUUGAAGCUUCCAGACCUGUUGGAAGAUUUCUGCUUUGAUUUGCCCUUUUUUUCUUGAGAGGCAAACGACGUCAGCAACAACAAUUGCAAAACAAAACACCAAAGUGGCUCUUGCCCAGUUCAGCUUCUUGCGAAUAGCCUCUAUUCUAUUCUUUUGGUUUUUGAAAGUAGCUCGGACUGGACUGGCAUGAAUUUAGAUGCAUAUUAACCGUCCCCUGCCUUUGGGUCGAAAGGAGAAGAGAAAGGGAACUGGGGGAAAAAGUCAUCAUGGUAAUGCAAGAGCCCUAACCUCGUCUGUCGAAGCAAGAAAGAAGCCUGAGCUGUUCUCUGAUGGACAGUGUAAUUUCUGUGGUGUGGUGCCUCCUCGUUGGUGGGAGGGUGGAGGUCCGAGAAAGAUCGGAAGACGCCACAGACUUUCUCUCCAUUGCCACUGAAGGAAGCACUUCUCCAUCUGCAUGGAGUGAAAUAUAAACAAACACACACUCCCAGUAGCAGAGCAGGCACGGAGCUGCGCCACUCAACUGCGUUUGGCUUCUCCUUGCUUUAAAGGGACAACCCUCCCUCCCCAGUACCCUCCUCCUCCCCCUCCUCACUUCCCCCUCCCCUUCCCUGUCUCACUCUUACCCCCACCCCUCCCCCUCCCUCCUCCGCCCUACCUUCCUCCCUUCUUCCACGCCCCAGCCACCUUGUCCAGGAGAGACCUGCCUAUCUGACCGCAGCUGGGGGAAGGGGUUGCCCCAUCAGUGCCUAAUCCUCGGAUUGUCUCCACCCCCACCCCCCCGCACCCUCAGGCGGCGGCUGCUUUGGACUGGGAGUCGUUCGCUCUGCCAGGUUCACGGGAAGGGACGUUUCCAGGUCUGCCUGUUCCCCUGGCUUGGCGAGGUACUGAUCUGGGAAGAGGAGGCGGCGGCAGUAAAGGUCCGCCGAGGACUUCAUUCCAGCUCAGGAUAACCAACUCUCUCCCCUGUUUCCCUCCCUUUCUCCCCACCCCCCAGCCCUCCUCCCCGCAGGCAGCGAUCCUGAUCCCUCAGCCUGUUCUCCCCCCUCCCCUCUUUCCCUCCCCCACUUUACCCCGCCCCAGCGAGAGAGCAAGGAGGGGAGCCACCAAGCGAACGAGGGAGAGAGCGAAGGAGCGAGCAGCAGCAGCCAAAAGGCAGCCCAAGGGCCCGGGCGGCGAAGAUGGCAGAGGCGCCGUCCUCCCCGGCCCCUCUCUCGCCGCUGGAAGUGGAGCUGGACCCGGAGUUCGAGCCCCAGAGCCGGCCCCGCUCCUGUACGUGGCCCCUGCAGAGGCCCGAGCUGCAGGCGAGCCCGGCCAAGCCCUCGGGGGAAGCGGCCGCCGACUCCAUGAUCCCAGAGGAGGAGGACGACGAGGAAGACGACGACGGAGGCUGCGGAGCCCCUGGGGGCGGUGGAGGAGCCGGCACGGCCAUGGCCAUGGCCGGCACGAGCGGCGUCCUCGGCCCAGGACUGCGCCCCGAGGAGGCGGCCCGCCUCCUGGCCCCUGGAGGGCAGGACUCGGGGUCCGGCGCGCCCUCCGGGGCAGGCGUGCUGAGCGGGGGGCAGCAGGCGCCACUGCAGCCGCAGCAGGCGCCGCUGCCGCUGCCCCCUCCGCCGCCGCCGCCGCUGCAGCCGCAGCAACAGGGGGCGAGCGGGGCCGCGGGGCAGCCGAGGAAAUGCUCCUCCCGGAGGAACGCGUGGGGAAACCUGUCCUACGCCGACCUGAUCACCCGGGCCAUCGAGAGCUCCCCAGACAAGCGGCUCACCCUGUCCCAGAUCUACGACUGGAUGGUGCGCUGCGUGCCCUACUUCAAGGAUAAGGGCGACAGCAACAGCUCCGCUGGCUGGAAGAACUCCAUCCGUCACAACUUAUCCCUACACAGUCGAUUCAAAAGGGUACAAAAUGAAGGGACCGGGAAAAGUUCCUGGUGGAUGAUCAAUCCAGACGGGGGCAAAAGCGGAAAGGCCCCUCGGCGAAGAGCCGUCUCCAUGGACAAUAGCAACAAGUACACCAAGAGUAGGGGGCGGGCAGCUAAGAAAAAGGCUUCUCUGCAGGCUUCCCAGGAAACCACAGAAGAUAGCCCUUCCCAGCUCACCAAGUGGCCGGGCAGCCCCACCUCUCGAAGCAGCGAUGAGCUGGACGCGUGGACAGACUUCCGCUCCCGAACCAACUCCAACGCCAGCACAGUAAGCGGACGCUUGUCACCCAUCCUGGCGACCACUGAGCUGGAUGAUGUCCAGGAUGACGACCCGCCGCUUUCCCCAAUGCUGUAUAGCAACUCAUCAAGCGUGUCCCCGUCGGUCAGCAAACCGUGUACCGUGGAACUUCCACGGCUGACCGACAUGGCAGGCACAAUGAACUUAAACGAUGGACUAACGGACAACCUCAUGGAUGACCUCUUGGACAAUAUCGCGCUCCCGCCCUCCCAGCAGUCACCAUCGUCAGGACUCAUGCAGAGGAGCUCUAGCUUCCCAUUUACCACCAAGGGCUCAGGUCUGGGGUCUCCGUCAGGCAGCUUGAAUAAUGCUGUGUUCGGCCCCUCUUCUCUGAACUCUCUACGCCAGUCUCCCAUGCAGACCAUCCAAGAGAAUAAGCCGGCCACCUUCUCUUCCAUGUCGCACUACAGCAACCAGUCCCUCCAGGACCUGCUGACAUCCGACUCGCUGAGCCAUAGCGAUGUCAUGAUGACUCAGUCAGAUCCAUUGAUGUCCCAGGCCAGCACAGCUGUGUCUGCCCAGAAUUCACGAAGGAAUGUCAUGCUCCGCAAUGACCCGAUGAUGUCCUUUGCUGCUCAGUCCAACCAGGGAAGUUUGGUCAGUCAGAAUCUACUCCACCAGCAGCACCAAACCCAGAGUCCUCUUGGUGGUAACCGUGCCUUGUCUAAUGCCGUCAAUAGCAUGGGCUUGAGUGACACCAACAACCUAGGGUCAGCCAAACACCAGCAACAGUCACCCGCCAGCCAUUCUAUGCAAACCCUUUCUGACUCACUCUCAGGGUCCUCUUUGUAUUCUACUAGUGUGAACCUUCCAGUCAUGGGCCAUGAAAAAUUCCCAAGUGAUUUGGACCUGGAUAUUUUUAAUGGGAGCUUGGAAUGUGACAUGGAAUCCAUCAUUCGCAGUGAACUCAUGGAUGCUGAUGGGUUGGAUUUUAACUUUGAUUCCCUCAUCUCUGCUCAAAACGUUGUCAGUCUGAAUGUGGGGAACUUCACUGGUGCUAAGCAGGCCUCAUCUCAGAGUUGGGUGCCAGGCUGAAGGACCUUUGAGGAAAGGGGGAAUGGGCAAAGCAGAUAAAGAAACUGAAACUCAGACUGGCUAGAUGAUUUUCCCAGAGUUACACCAAUAACCCUCAAACUGACACCAGAUCUAAAGAGGAGGAAAUAAAAAACCCUUUGCCAAAUCUGCUCUCAGCAAGUGGACAAUGACACCGUUUACAGCUUAUUGACCUUUGUGAAUCAAUCCUGCAUCCUUCUCCUAAUCAAGCCAAGACUGUUAAUGGCCCCUCAUUCCCCCCCCCCCAGCAAAGCUCCUAUCAAACUCGAGAACGUAUGCAAAAUCUUCCCUGUACAGGAUGAUGGAGCACUUUCCAUGGACACCGCACCCAACGCCUCUGCGCCAUCUUGUCAAGACACACUGUGUGCCCUCUAACAGUAGUUCCCUGCCGAUGCUCAUGUGGUGUUAUCAUAUAGCAGUGGUUUAGGGGUUGUUUUAAGUUUUGGUUUUGUAUUUGUUUUCUUGCUUUUCUCACUCCUGUGCCCAUGCAGUGGUUUUUUGUUGUUGUUGCUGUUGUUUAUUUUUUCUGUUGACUAGACUCACCUACCCUUUCUUUCCCUGGCAAGUUGAAAACUUUGGAAGGAAGCAAACACUUGCCAGUUACGUUCCUGCUUCAGGAGUCCCAGACAUUGGGUCCCUCUGACUCUAUAGACUGACAAGUCGCAUAAUCUAAAGAACAUUUUCUUUCGUGUUUUGUCUGAUAGAAAACUAUUCUCUUCUUAAGAAAACUGUUCUCUUCUUAGAAACCUAACAAUGGCACAAUCAUUUUCCAAAAACAAGAUAUAGCACAGGAGAAAUGAAGAACAAUGCAUCCUAUACAGUGUUUUGUUUUGCUUUUUAAAAUUCUGAACAAGAAGAUUCUUUUGGAGGGUCCACCAAAGAGACCCAGAAGCUGAUUUGCUGUUGUCUAAAUCAGGAUGGCCUGUGGUUUUUAUGGACUGUUCCCCAUUCAGUGUACUGGACCAUCUGUUUAUUGGUUGAAAUAGCUAUUUUAAGGAGAGAAAUAAUAUGAGAUGCCCAUUCAUUGCCAAAUGCCACUCGGAAAUUCCCCCCCCCUUUUUUUUUCUUUGGAGGAAAGCAGGGGGAAAAGUAGUUCUGUUCUGCAUUGAAAGUGAGAUAAGGCUUUCACAAGUAUAUGUCAGGCCUAAAGUAGAUAACCUAUGUGAAAAGUGCAGACCAGACUUAUGGGGGACUUUGGAUCUUUCAUAUUUGUUUGAAUACCUUUCCUUGAGCUUGGAUUAUAUUUGAACAAAUGAAACAGAGAUGAAAGGCCAUUUUAAACUUUUUGUUUUGUUUUUCCGGCUUUUCCAGAUUUGGGUUGUUUUUUCUUUUUCUUUUUUUAAGUUACUGGUGCUGUAUAGGUGCUUUCUGUUUAACCUGGAAAGUGUGAUUCUUUUUGUUAGUUUCUUUGGUAGGGAGUUGAGUUGGGUGUUCCAUUGGGACAGGAAGAAUCUGGUAAGAAGCAGCUCCAAUUACUCUAGUAUUGAAUCACUUGUCCAACAUGCUCUCUGAAGACUUUUUUUUUCCCACUUUGGAUAAAAUCAUUAUGCAUAUAAAUGUAUAAAUAUAUUUUAUUAUGUAGAGUACAGAAAUGAAUAAUUAUGCAUGGGUGGUAAGAAUACAAACCUGUAUUCCAUCCCAAAGUUUCAGUCAAAAGUUCUCACUGAUAGUGGUCCCAUGCAACAUGUCACAACUUCCUUCCAUGACACAUGAAACACACACGUGCACCUGCCGCUAUCUAUCGAGCCCCUUUUUUGUUCCUUUGCGUUAUCUUGGGGGCCGAUGUUGGUAGAAGUUACACCUGGUGUGUUGGGCAUUCCAUUUGGUCUCUUAAUGCCCUCUCUCACCCCAACUCUGCCAUGCCUGUAUUGUCCUUUUUGAGUGAUGACCCUGUUUAUUUCAUCAUGUUUCACAGAAUUUGUAUAUGCUUCUGUGGUUGUGGUUAUGGUAGACCAACCUGGACGUACCAGUUUUUUGAACAACUUAAGAUCUUAUCCUUUUCAGUGCGAAAGGUAGUAGUAAGUGUGUUCAGAUUGGUCAGUUUGUCUGUGGCAGGAACUUGCUUCCUAUAUUCCUUUACCAUAAUGAGAGUUUAAAAAUUGUACAAAUAAGACACCUGUCAAAUAUUGCUUGCUAGUCCUCUCUGAAAAGCAAAAGGACUGCCUGGUCAGGCACUGGUGAAAGAGAAAUACCUCUCUCAAUCUUCAUUCCUCUAUCCUGAAAGGAGAAGCUAGCCAAGUGGGCCAGAGAGGAGGAACGCACUGUUUUGUUACUUGGUCAGAUGGCCUACGUGGAAACCAGCUGGUGGUAGGGAGCUGUUAGGCUAUACGAGAGUCCAGGCUGCUCCAGCUAGAGAGCCUAGAGAUUGCAAUUCAGCUCCUGAGUUAUAAGGAAGUUGUUUUCUCUUUGUUGCUCUAGACCCCAAGAGUUGCUUGGGGGUGGGAGAGGGCAGGAAGUAGGUCAGAAAAAGUACUAACAGUGUUCCAACUGAAAAAAAAAUGGCACAGACUUCCCUUCAGUUAUAUAGUAUCUCUUUCAUUCUCUACUUUUCUCGCAUUAGAUAGGUUUUAAUCUGAAACUAUCUUGAGAAAUGUUUUGAACCCAGAUUAGAAUUUAAUCUAAGACAACUGAGUGCAAGAAAGCACAGGAUCAGGGAGCUACAAAACUGAACAGGAAGUCUUUUUUUCCCCCUUAUUGAACGACUCAGUGAAACAACAGUUUAAGGAUGGGUGAGAAAUUCUAAGGGACUGAAUCCCUGAGCCAUGCAGGAGGGCUGCAAGAGGGGCAAGGAAGGUCUGAUCCUUUCUGGUUCUUGACCUAGAAUUGUUACAGUCUUCCCCUUUAUCCACCCACCAGCUUGAAGUCUCUCUGUUCCGUACUAUAUCUCCAGCAGAAUGGAGCGUUGGGAGCUGAGGCUGAAGCUGAAAGGCCAAAGAAGCAAGAUCCGUGCUAGAGUUGUAGCCAUGCCUCUGUUAACCUGAGCUGGGUAGAGGUGCCGCUUGUGGCUUUUCUACAGAUUAGGUUUAAAGGAUCGUCUGGAAGUACCAUGACUGAUUUCUGUGCGCACCCUCCUCUCUCUGGCUGUUUUCAGAUCUAGGACGCUAAAUAGAAAAUCUGCAGUUCCCAUAGCUGAUUUCAUCACUAGCAUCAGCUAACCAAAUUGCAGCCCUUCCUAACCCUCCCUUCUCUACCCUCACCCCUUAGCGUAAUAUGGGGAGGGCUGCCAUUUUUUUUUUAUAAGGAAACCAGAAGAGUAACUGUUUCUGAUUAGACAUGUACUCUGGGGAACUGUUCCCCUCCGAGACUCCAGGCCCAAACACCUUUUACCAAAGUUAGAAAACAGCUUUAUCACAAGCUUUCCCUGUUAUGUACUUAAGUGCAGAAUAUGCAUUGCCCUUUUCAGGUUCAGGUAUAUCCUUAGCUGUGAAUGAAUCUGAAGUUGUUUUUCUUUUUUCUUUUUUUCUCUCAUCUACCAUAAUGUUAUUUUUUUUACUUAAAAAAAAUCUCCUGUUAAUCAGAGGAGGAUGUUUGAUAUAGUACAAAGCGGGCUUUGUGGUAUUGUGUGUGUGUGUGUAUGUAUGUGUGUGUGUGAGUGUGUGUUGAUUUUAACAAACACGUCUACUGCCUCCCCUCCCUGAGGAUGAAGCUCAUGGUGGCUUUCGCUACUACCAGCAGAUAGUUCCCAUUCAUAGGGGUAAGAUUUCAAGUUAGUUAAUGAUUUGUGUUCAUUGGACUAGGGAUGAUGAGGACAGGUUUAUCUCCUGCCUGGUGGAUCUCUCUCUUUUUUUUAAUGGUCGUCAUUUGGGUUUCUUCAAGAUGCAACCAGGACCAAAGUAGUACCACAGCCACUUAAUUAUUCCCCACAGGAAUGUAAGGGAUUCCAUGGGGAUGGGCAAGGAAAAGGAAAAAGCAGUAGAGAAAUUCAAGCCUUCAGGCUUUCCUCAACCAAAAUCAAAAUUUCUGCCUUUAAAAAAAAAGUCUCUUUUCAUAUUUUCGCCCUGAUUAAGGAAAACUAAUCUUUCCAAUACUAAAAUUCACUGAUUCUAUUUUCUCUUGGAAUAUUUUGAGAAUAUAUGAUUAAGUAUGAUUUUGUUUUUCAUUAAGAAAAUCAGUUAUGGGGAGAUAAUCAUUGGCCAAGAGGUACGAAGUUCAGCAGCAUCUCUGGGGAAAGGGGGAAAAAGGAAAAAGACUAAUUUUCCUGAAAUCAUGUCCAUCAAAUAAGAUCUUGUAGCAGAUACACAAGUUAUUAAAGAGUUUUAGUGUUAAUAUUUAAUACAUAAGCGCUAAGCAUCUAAAGUGGUAACAUUUAUGCGAUUUGAACGAUUGUGUAUUUUAUUUAAUUUUAUUUGUGAUUUUUUUCUUUUGUGAACGAUUGGUUAUAAGGCUUCUGCCUAACUCCAGAAAUAUUUGUACCAUUGCUUUAAAAAGCUAUAUGUUAGGACAUUUAUUUCUCUAAAAUUAUGUUAUUGCUUGGCAAUCAGUCUUCUCUCAUAUAAUUGUCUUAGUACAUCAUGUGCAUUGGAAAUGUAAACAGAUGUGGAGGACCAGAUAAAUUAGUUAAUAUUUGAAAAAACAAUGUAUUGUGCAUUUUGGCUUCACAUGUUAAACUUUUUUUUUCAGAAAAAAAAAAGUUGCAUGAAUGGAAAAAAAGUAUCUGUAUACAGUAUCUGUAAAAUUGUCUUCUCUGUUUUAGUUUCUUGCUGAUAACCUGUACAAACUAGAAUGAUGCUAAACCCCUGUCUUUGGUGCAUGGCCACAGUCAAAACACCUAAGAGCUAAGAGGCUCCUACUUUGCUUUGGUAGUGCCUCGUCCUUUCUUUUAGAGUCAACACUAUCCAUUUGCAUUCUCACUGAGGAUCUCGUCAAACCGUGUGUUGCCAUGGAUUGACUAACCGACUAUAUACCCUCUCUCCAGGAGGAUCAAACUAUUUUUGAUUUGAGAAUCUUUCCAAAUGAAAUAGAGAUGCUGUGCUUAUUUUCCUCAGUGUUUAUCUGUAGAUAUCACCUUGUGUAUUCCAUUUUCGAUUGUAAUCUAGUUUGUAAAAGAGAUGGUGACCGCAUGUAAAUAAAGCAUAAUGACUCUCUA